Molecule: long non-coding RNA, 497 nt
Filed under: Equus caballus (horse)
Lineage: Eukaryota; Metazoa; Chordata; Mammalia; Perissodactyla; Equidae
Description: lncRNA (ENSECAG00000045116.1)
Source: RNAcentral
CUGCCUGACACGGGACUUGGCCUUUGGCAGAGGAACUAGUCACUUCCACCCCUUGUCCAGCAGAGAAGCAGAGGAAUAAAUACAUCAACCUCUUCUCCUCCCACCCCACUCCACUCAAACUCCUAUCGGUGCCUUCCACUGGCACCAGCCGGAAUGCAAGGGAGCCUGUUGAUGCAGCCCUUCCAGGCUCCCCGUGAAGACUGUCACCACCAGAGGUCCUGCUACGUCUCCAGCAACUUACCUUUGAUGUGGCUUUAAGAGAGGUGCCUUCUCUAGUUAACUACCAUUUGCAACACUGCAGGGAAGUCCCCCAAGUGUAGGCCUGUCUGCUCUACAGUGAACCUCUGAGAGCUGAGUUGCUCCGGGCCACCUGCCGAAUCUUCAUAUGGCACCCCUUCAACCUUGGGCGAUGGUGAAAUCACCGACUCUCAGGCUCCCCCAGUUGUCUCACUUGGACUGACCGACAGUUCCACUAGCUACAGCCUAGCACAGCCCCC